Molecule: long non-coding RNA, 1871 nt
Organism: Ictalurus punctatus (channel catfish)
Lineage: Eukaryota; Metazoa; Chordata; Actinopteri; Siluriformes; Ictaluridae
Exons: 2
Source: RefSeq, a predicted model, not a curated record
CAUUUCGGGGAAAUCUUGUAUACGGAACUUUUUAAAAGUGGCUCUGUUUAACUUGUGGAUAGUUGAAUAUGCGGUAUGCUUCAUAGCGUGAGAUAUAUACAGUAUAUCAUUGUCGUUGGUUUGUUUAAGCGAUAAAUGAGUGAUAUUCAGCCGUACACUCGGCCGGUUUAUUAGGAACACCCGUAUACUCGGGCAAUUAUCCAGUCAGCCAACCAUGUGGCAACAGUACAGUGCAUGACAUCACAGAGAUAGAGGUCGAGCACAUCGGUUAAUGUUCACAGCAAACAUCAGAAUGAGGGGGGAAUAUCAGUGGUAUCAGUGACUUUGACUCUGGCGAUGUUGUUGGUGGCAGAGUAUUUCAGAAACUGCUGAUCAUCUGGGAUUUUCACCCACGCAGAAUGGUGCGAAAAACAACAACAAUAAAAAACAUCCAGCGAGCGGCAGCUCCGCAGGUGGAAGUGCCUUGUUGAUUAGAGAUGGCAGUGGAGAACGGUCAGAUCUGACAGGAAGUCUAUAGUAGCUUAAAUAGGUGAGCGGAAAAGAAUCUCAGAGCCUUAAUCUGUGACGUGAGCGACAACAGCAGAAGACCCACAUCAGGUUCGCACUCCUGUCAACCAAGAACAGGAAAUCUCAGGCUCACUCACCAAAAGUACAGUACAGGAGCAAGAACCCCACCUAGUGGAACUGAAUGUGAAGCUUCUACUAGGAUCAACCUUCAGAUGUAUUCAUUAUUCAAGUCGUCUUCGAACGGUGGAUUGUGAUACCUUCACCCCUGCCCUGUGGAGGUUGUUGGUGAGGUCACGGACUUUUGUUUUUGGGUUUUUCUUCACAGAUCUCACGAAGUUUGUCAUCAGCUGUUGUUGUUUUCCUUGGCUGACCCAGUCAGUGUUUGGUGCUCAGUACACCAGUGGUUUCUUUCUUUUUCAGGACAUUCCAAACUGUUGUAUUGACUAUGCCCAAUGUUUGUCCAAUGCCUCUGAUAGAUUCUCCCUCUUUUCUCAGCUUCAAAAUGGCUUGCUUUCCUCCCAUAGACAGCUCUCUGAUCUAAAUGUUGGCUUAUCCUUUUUAACAACAAAUGCAGCCAUGACAGGUGAAACUGAAGGCUUUUAAAACCAAGAGUAGAUGUUUAGCUAUUUAUUGUUUGAACAAUUAAUCUAACAGGACACCCCUGGGUAACAAGAAACACCCGUCAGUCACGUGUUUAUGUUUUUGCUCACCUACAAAUUGGGUGGUCUGAUACAAAAUGUGCAACGUUUUAUGUCGUUGAACACAUCCAGUUAAAACAGGAAUUACACAAACACCUAACAGACACUAACUGAUGCACUGACUUCAACAGCUGUGUAUUAGCUCUGUGUCAGGAUGCCGGGGACCCUGAGGCUGUGAGGAGGCACCUGCUUCACCACCCACUAGUCACCUAAACCUGACCACUUUACAAAAAAGCUUUACGCUGUUCACAUACAUUUUUCUUGGAAGGUUAGAUGACUGUAGCCAGUCACAGCUGCUCAGCUAAAAAAAAAAAAAAAAAAAAAAAAGGUUCAAACCUCUGAAAAUGAAAAUAAAAAUAAGUGUAAACAAGCACUGAAGUAAGCGAGUACAGCGGGUACCUUAAGAGCUAUUCCGAGGAAUACUAAAACACACUUGGAAACAUGCCAGAUUUCUUUUUCUGGUGCCCACCGAACACUCAAUACUCGCGUUUUUCUUUUCCACACAUCCAGAUCAAAUAUUUAAAUACAGCCCUUUCAUCCAUUUAGUUGGAAAUUCAGUUAUUUGGAACACAGUUACAUUUUGCUCCACUGAGGAACAAUUUGCUUGUGUUUUUACAUAAAACAUUAUUAAAGAAUAGGUAAUAAAUAAAUAAAUAAAUAAAUAAA